UAGGGAAUCUUCGGCAAUGGACGAAAGUCUGACCGAGCAACGCCGCGUGAGUGAAGAAGGUUUUCGGAUCGUAAAACUCUGUUGGUAGAGAAGAACGUUGGUGAGAGUGGAAAGCUCAUCAAGUGACGGUAACUACCCAGAAAGGGACGGCUAACUACGUGCCAGCAGCCGCGGUAAUACGUAGGUCCCGAGCGUUGUCCGGAUUUAUUGGGCGUAAAGCGAGCGCAGGUGGUUUAUUAAGUCUGGUGUAAAAGGCAGUGGCUCAACCAUUGUAUGCAUUGGAAACUGGUAGACUUGAGUGCAGGAGAGGAGAGU
This 315-nucleotide ribosomal RNA is filed under the name uncultured bacterium. Its description in RNAcentral is "partial 16S ribosomal RNA". It matches the Rfam family "Bacterial small subunit ribosomal RNA", at positions 355 to 662 of the family's 1533-position model. The record is from RNAcentral.